Aequorivita capsosiphonis DSM 23843 is the source of this 68-nucleotide non-coding RNA. NCBI's taxonomy places the organism in Bacteria, Pseudomonadati, Bacteroidota, Flavobacteriia, Flavobacteriales, Flavobacteriaceae. The record is from Rfam.
UAUCUUUGCCGCCUUGAUUAUCAAAACGGUAGUCAGUACAUAAUAAUCAUUUUAACAAUAUUGGCAUG